UCGUCGGUGUUUGGGUUGCAGAUGCACGA
Molecule: small RNA, 29 nt
Filed under: Bombyx mori (domestic silkworm)
Lineage: Eukaryota; Metazoa; Arthropoda; Insecta; Lepidoptera; Bombycidae
Description: ovarian small RNA-7651
Source: RNAcentral